RNAcentral lists this ribosomal RNA (457 nucleotides) under uncultured bacterium. RNAcentral's name for it is "partial 16S ribosomal RNA". It matches the Rfam family "Bacterial small subunit ribosomal RNA", at positions 338 to 795 of the family's 1533-position model. The record is from RNAcentral.
CCUACGGGAGGCUGCAGUGGGGAAUAUUGCACAAUGGGGGAAACCCUGAUGCAGCGACGCCGCGUGAGUGAAGAAGUAUUUCGGUACGUAAAGCUCUAUCAGCAGGGAAGAAAAAAAGUCCUUUGGACUUUGGACGGUACCUGACUAAGAAGCCCCGGCUAACUACGUGCCAGCAGCCGCGGUAAUACGUAGGGGGCAAGCGUUAUCCGGAUUUACUGGGUGUAAAGGGAGCGUAGACGGCAGCGCAAGUUUGGAGUGAAAUGCCGGGGCCCAACCCCGGAACUGCUUUGGAAACUGUGCAGCUGGAGUGCAGGAGAGGUAAGCGGAAUUCCUAGUGUAGCGGUGAAAUGCGUAGAUAUCACGCAGAACCCCGAUUGCGAAGGCAGCAUACCGGUGCACAACUGACGCUCAGGCACGAAAGCGUGGGUAUCGAACAGGAUUAGAUACCCGAGUAGUC